Camelina sativa (false flax) is the source of this 322-nucleotide non-coding RNA. The record is from RefSeq and is a predicted model, not a curated record. Lineage: Eukaryota; Viridiplantae; Streptophyta; Magnoliopsida; Brassicales; Brassicaceae.
UAAAGUGUUGGAGUCUUUAAAUCUCAACAUUCUCACUACUAACUUAUCUUCCUUCUCCUCUCGUCUCUCGACUACUCUCUUCCUCCAGGCGGAUGAAGAAGAAAGCAGUGCAGUAGAGGCCAAGAUACAAAUGGCAAUCGCAGCUUAUAAUGAUCCAAAUUAUCUUAUCAACUUCUAAAUUACUUUUAUUUUUUACUCUAUUCGUUUCAUGCAAUAUAUGUGAAGAGUUACAUUGUUGUAAGGGUUGAUUUAUUUUCUGAGCUACAAAACGUCUGGUAUUAUAUUAAAUUUAAAUAUUAUAUGCAAUCCUUUAUUAUGAAAA